Molecule: long non-coding RNA, 683 nt
Organism: Panicum virgatum (switchgrass)
Lineage: Eukaryota; Viridiplantae; Streptophyta; Magnoliopsida; Poales; Poaceae
Exons: 2
Source: RefSeq, a predicted model, not a curated record
ACGUCUCCUGGCUCAACCUCUCCGGCGCGCGCCCGUCGGCGCUCUCGCGGCUCCGCGGCCUGCAGCUCCUCUCCGUCGCGGCCAACGCCUUCUGCGGGCCCAUCCCGCCGUCGCUCGCGCUCCUGCAGCAGCUCCUCCACCUCAACCUCUCCAACAACGCCUUCAACAGCUCCUUCCCGCCGGCGCUCGAGGGCCUCCGGGGCCUCCGCGCCCCCGAUGCCGAGAGGCCGCACAGAGAGUGACAGAGGCCUGGCACGCCUCCGGCUCGGAGGAUCACCAUGCGGGAGCACAUGUCCUCGUCUCCCAUGAAUUCGCACGACAUGCUGUUCAUUGAUGCCGAUCGUGCACCUUCCGGCCGAAACCGACAUAGGAAUGGGCGUCGGCACUCGCACGGACGGAUUGAGGAAGAGGUAUGAUUUUCUUUUUAUUUUUCCCGAUUCUUAAGUUGAAUAGAACUAUACUCUUUAAACAAAGAGAGAAAAUGAAACAGAAAAUAGAUAGCAUGCCUCAUUUAGUGCCACUCUCUGAAUAUACACAGAAAAAAGAACAUGUAUACACAUUUCAUUCAUUGUUCAAAAUUUCAUGAAGAAACUAGAUAACAAGAACAUUUUCCUACAAGGACUGGAACCUUUUGUUCAGGCACCACCAAAUAUUCUAGUCCCUUGCAGGCACAAACACAGAUA